GAGCUCGUAGGCGGUUUGUCGCGUCUGCCGUGAAAGUCCGGGGCUCAACUCCGGAUCUGCGGUGGGUACGGGCAGACUAGAGUGAUGUAGGGGAGACUGGAAUUCCUGGUGUAGCGGUGAAAUGCGCAGAUAUCAGGAGGAACACCGAUGGCGAAGGCAGGUCUCUGGGCAUUAACUGACGCUGAGGAGCGAAAGCAUGGGGAGCGAACAGGAUUAGAUACCCUGGUAGUCCAUGCCGUAAACGUUGGGCACUAGGUGUGGGGGACAUUCCACGUUUUCCGCGCCGUAGCUAACGCAUUAAGUGCCCCGCCUGGGGAGUACGGCCGCAAGGCUAAAACUCAAAGGAAUUGACGGGGGCCCGCACAAGCGGCGGAGCAUGCGGAUUAAUUCGAUGCAACGCGAAGAACCUUACCAAGGCUUGACAUGAACUAGUAAGGCCUAGAGAUAGGUCCCCCACUUGUGGCUGGUUUACAGGUGGUGCAUGGUUGUCGUCAGCUCGUGUCGUGAGAUGUUGGGUUAAGUCCCGCAACGAGCGCAACCCUCGUUCUAUGUUGCCAGCGCGUUAUGGCGGGGACUCAUAGGAGACUGCCGGGGUCAACUCGGAGGAAGGUGGGGACGACGUCAAAUCAUCAUGCCCCUUAUGUCUUGGGCUUCACGCAUGCUACAAUGGCCGGUACAAAGGGUUGCGAUACUGUGAGGUGGAGCUAAUCCCAAAAAGCCGGUCUCAGUUCGGAUUGGGGUCUGCAACUCGACCCCAUGAAGUCGGAGUCGCUAGUAAUCGCAGAUCAGCAACGCUGCGGU
RNAcentral lists this ribosomal RNA (801 nucleotides) under Arthrobacter sp. PDI1C. Its description in RNAcentral is "bacterial SSU rRNA". It matches the Rfam family "Bacterial small subunit ribosomal RNA", at positions 565 to 1363 of the family's 1533-position model. Lineage: Bacteria; Bacillati; Actinomycetota; Actinomycetes; Micrococcales; Micrococcaceae. The record is from RNAcentral.